Hypanus sabinus (Atlantic stingray) is the source of this 996-nucleotide long non-coding RNA. RefSeq lists it as uncharacterized. Lineage: Eukaryota; Metazoa; Chordata; Chondrichthyes; Myliobatiformes; Dasyatidae. The record is from RefSeq and is a predicted model, not a curated record. The transcript has 3 exons.
GUGGGGGUUGGUGAAGGCUUACUGAACCAGCCCCCCGUCCCGGGACAUGUGUAGCCUCUGGCAGACGCAUUCCUCGGGCCUCGAGGAAUGGCAACGAGGGACUGUCACCUGUCGCCGAAACACGAUCGGCUUUUUUUGCAUCCGGAACGUGGCGGUUUCAAAAGCUUCCCCCACCCCUCCUCCUUCUCUGUCUCCCUCUAAACAGAAAGAUCAGCCCCCGGGCCGCCUGCUCUCUCAGAUAUAUAUCUCACUUCCAUAGCGGGGGAAGAGAAGGAGUCUUUUCCCGCUGACAUCAAAGGAAAGACCGUGUGAACAGAGAUGACCCACAGAAAUACAGAGUUCUUUUGAAGACCCUGACCCAGAGUUACACGCUGACUAUGGCUCUUUGUGGGAGUGGGACCCGCCCUUCGUGGUUUCACGAAUGGCCGUUGUUCGGCCCGCUGAGGGCUCGGCCUACGAGGUUGGCUCGCCUUUGGAGGCCUAGGGUCUCAGGGUUCUGGAGGCGGGCAGUGUCACGGCAGGAGAUCCGUGUGUCACUGGGGGAGGCAGAGGAUCUACAGCUGCGUGCCCAGAGUCUCGAGAUCUUUGGACACAGAGCUCGAAAAAAGCGACGCAAUGGAAACCAGCGAGUUGUUUGUUAUGCCUCCAUUCUCACUGCGAAAGAAAGUCACCUCUUUCUCCCUUAUUAGGGAGGGAGCGAGCCUGUGGAGUCUGUCGUUCCUCCGCAACUGGAUUCACUCGUUUCUCAACGCAUGCCGUGAUGUGUCGUACCAGGUUCAGGGACAGCUUCUAGCCCACCAUUAUGAGAUGACUGAACAGUCCCCCACUUCGAAAAGAUGGCCUCUUGAUCUGACAAUCUACCUCGCUAUGAUCUUGCACCUUAUUACACUACUCUGUCCGUGUAACACUUCAUCACAUACUCUGAUAUUAUUCUACCUGGUUCUACCUCGAUGUCCUGAGUAAUGAAUUGGUCGAUAUGGACAGAAAGCAAAACAA